AAGAACAGACGAACAAUUUGCACUCUGAUGGGAAAAUAAUUAACAACGCCUGUCAGAAUCGGCGAAGAAGCAAUCUCGAAACAAAAAUCUGUCUGGUACGGAGAAAGUCGGCCUGAUCACCGAAACAGAAAUAUCGACCUGGAUACCAAAAUAAAUGGUAACGCAGGGAUAACCAUGGCCUGAACACCACAUCCGCUGGGGAUUAUUAUCUCUUUUUUUUUUCUUGAACCCCGAAAUUUUUCUUUUUUCAUUUUCAUGGUUUGAAC
This 266-nucleotide long non-coding RNA is filed under the name Lathyrus oleraceus (garden pea). RNAcentral describes it as "Pisum sativum (pea) long non-coding RNA (PSAT_LNC019448)". Lineage: Eukaryota; Viridiplantae; Streptophyta; Magnoliopsida; Fabales; Fabaceae. The record is from RNAcentral.